This 347-nucleotide ribosomal RNA is filed under the name uncultured bacterium. RNAcentral's name for it is "bacterial SSU rRNA". It matches the Rfam family "Bacterial small subunit ribosomal RNA", at positions 72 to 422 of the family's 1533-position model. The record is from RNAcentral.
CGCGGGGGUAACCCUGGCGACGAGAGGCGGACGGGUGAGCAGUGCUUGGGAAUCUGCCCAUCAGCGGGGGACAACCCGGGGAAACUCGGGCUAAUACCGCAUACGCUCUACGGAGGAAAGCCGGGGACCGCAAGGCCUGGCACUGACGGACGAGCCCAAGCCGGAUUAGCUAGUUGGCGGGGUAACGGCCCACCAAGGCGACGAUCCGUAGCUGGUCUGAGAGGACGAUCAGCCACACCGGAACUGAGACACGGUCCGGACUCCUACGGGAGGCAGCAGUGGGGAAUAUUGGACAAUGGGGGAAACCCUGAUCCAGCGACGCCGCGUGGGUGAAGAAGGCCUGCGGG